Pelobates cultripes (western spadefoot toad) is the source of this 244-nucleotide non-coding RNA. The record is from the annotation of a GenBank genome assembly. NCBI's taxonomy places the organism in Eukaryota, Metazoa, Chordata, Amphibia, Anura, Pelobatidae.
UCAUUAUACGAACGGGCUCCAUGGCAUAGCUAUCUGGGGUAUCACCGCUCACAACAGGGCAAGCACCGGCUUUCGUGUCUUCGCAAAAAAAAAAUAAAUAAAAAAAAAUCCAGGCUCCUCCAAUGCACAGUGGCGAGAUUGGUCUCGUCACAUCACCCUAUAUAACUAUACUCUUAUUGCUUAGCAACCAUAAUUUCCUGUGUUGUAUGGCUAAUUUAGGCCUUGAGUUGGUCUUUUUAUAGAC